ACCAGAUUGCAAAAGGGGUUCAUGACACACCAAUCUGGAAAUUAUUUGGAUUUCAUGAGAAUUAUAGGUCUAUAGAAUUCUAUAGAAUAUGAAAGCUAUUACCUCACAAUAAUCCCAGGAGGUAGAUUGGAAUGGCAUUAAUAUAACCCUUUUUACAGAUAAGAAAACUGAAGUUUGUAGAGGUUUUGACUUUCCCAAGUUUCACAGUCUAUAAAUAGCAGAACCAAGAUUAGAAACUAAGUAUACUGAUGUCAACUACCAAAAAAUAUAUAUCUUUCUACCAUAUCACUGACAUCCAUGUUUAGAAAACUAUCCACUCGAAAAGCAAUCAUAAAAAGAUGGAAGAAAAGUAGGGACAAUCUAAUUAAGUCCUUUUCGUGGAGGUAUGACUACACCUAUACAAUGCCUGGCUGAUUGCCAAACAUCCACAUUUUAUAGCAAAUGAGCAAUGUACUUAUCUCCUCUGCUUAUAUCAACUCAUGCUUUGAAUCCUGUCAGGACAUUCGUAUAUUCCUCUGACUUAAGUUCCUCAUUCUACAGCACCAACCUAUUUACUCACAUGAAAUAAAUCUACAAAUAUUUAUUGCUGGCCUCUUCUUUUUUUUUCUUAUAAGGGCACAGACCACUAGACAAGAAGGAAUAUGUCAAAGUGCCAGACUUUUUCACAUAAAGUUUCUUUAGAAAAGCACCCUGGACUACUGGAUAUAGUGGUGGACCUUAGAAUCCAGAAGAAUUGGUUGGAACUCUACUUUGGACUCUACCUACAUAAUCAAAGAUGUGGAAGUAGAGGCCAAGAAAUGUCAAAUAAUUCAACCAAGAUCAUGAAAACAAUAAAUGGCAAAGCCUUGAUUCAAACCCAGAUCCUUGAGAUCCAAAUUAAAUACUGUUAUUUUUCUAGUAUGUCAUCCUUUCUUCAAAGUCAAACUAAGCUGAAAUCCAGGUUUUGCACCUGUAGCUUCUGACUCAGAAUCUAAUGCAUUCUCCAAUAACUCUGGCACUAGGUGGGAAAUAAUUGUCUCUCUUUCUGUGUUUAUUUAAACACAUCUAUAAACACAUAUCUGUGUACAUAUAUGUAUACAUAGACCUAAAUGUUUAUGCAUAAAUGUGGAUGUAUAUGUAUGUGCAUAUGUGUAUAUAUACAUAUAUGUGUAUGAACAUGUCCAUAUCUAUGUAAUCCUUUGCUCAAAGGGUUAAUUAGAUGAGACUGUCUCCUCCUUGGUGGAGACUAAAUUACUCAAUGCCCCUGUGCUUGUGAAAGGAAGUUAGUAAGAGCAAAUGAGAAGAGAAAG
This 1289-nucleotide long non-coding RNA is filed under the name Monodelphis domestica (gray short-tailed opossum). RNAcentral describes it as "lncRNA (ENSMODG00000044294.1)". The record is from RNAcentral. Lineage: Eukaryota; Metazoa; Chordata; Mammalia; Didelphimorphia; Didelphidae.